UGGGUCUUUGAGAUAUGGGUG
Molecule: unclassified non-coding RNA, 21 nt
Filed under: Mus musculus (house mouse)
Lineage: Eukaryota; Metazoa; Chordata; Mammalia; Rodentia; Muridae
Description: oocyte_clustered_small_RNA5823
Source: RNAcentral